This 253-nucleotide ribosomal RNA is filed under the name uncultured bacterium. RNAcentral describes it as "partial 16S ribosomal RNA". It matches the Rfam family "Bacterial small subunit ribosomal RNA", at positions 524 to 776 of the family's 1533-position model. The record is from RNAcentral.
UACGGAGGGUGCAAGCGUUGUUCGGAUUUACUGGGCGUAAAGGGCGCGUAGGCGGCAAUUCAAGUCAUCUGUGAAAUCUCCGGGCUUAACUCGGAAUGGUCAGGUGAUACUGCUUUGUUAGAGUGCAGAAGGGGCAAUCGGAAUUCUUGGUGUAGCGGUGAAAUGCGUAGAUAUCAAGAGGAACACCUGAGGUGAAGACGGGUUGCUGGGCUGACACUGACGCUGAGGCGCGAAAGCUAGGGGAGCAAACGGG